This 567-nucleotide ribosomal RNA is filed under the name Limosilactobacillus oris. Its description in RNAcentral is "bacterial SSU rRNA". It matches the Rfam family "Bacterial small subunit ribosomal RNA", at positions 1 to 526 of the family's 1533-position model. Lineage: Bacteria; Bacillati; Bacillota; Bacilli; Lactobacillales; Lactobacillaceae. The record is from RNAcentral.
UUGGAAGAGUUUGAUCCUGGCUCAGGAUGAACGCCGGCGGUGUGCCUAAUACAUGCAAGUCGAGCGCACUGGCCCAACAGAAAUGACGUGCUUGCACUGAUUUGACGUUGGAUUCCCAGUGAGCGGCGGACGGGUGAGUAACACGUGGGCAACCUGCCCCAAAGCGGGGGAUAACAUUUGGAAACAGGUGCUAAUACCGCAUAACUUGGAAAACCACAUGGUUUUCCAAUAAAAGAUGGUUUCGGCUAUCACUUUGGGAUGGGCCCGCGGUGCAUUAGCUAGUUGGUAAGGUAACGGCUUACCAAGGCGAUGAUGCAUAGCCGAGUUGAGAGACUGAUCGGCCACAAUGGAACUGAGACACGGUCCAUACUCCUACGGGAGGCAGCAGUAGGGAAUCUUCCACAAUGGGCGCAAGCCUGAUGGAGCAACACCGCGUGAGUGAAGAAGGGUUUCGGCUCGUAAAACUCUGUUGUUGGAGAAGAACGUGCGUAAGAGUAACUGUUUACGCAGUGACGGUAUCCAACCAGAAAGUCACGGCUAACUACGUGCCAGCAGCCGCGGUAAUAA